This 579-nucleotide ribosomal RNA is filed under the name uncultured bacterium. Its description in RNAcentral is "partial 16S ribosomal RNA". It matches the Rfam family "Bacterial small subunit ribosomal RNA", at positions 355 to 928 of the family's 1533-position model. The record is from RNAcentral.
UGGGGAAUUUUGGACAAUGGGGGAAACCCUGAUCCAGCCAUCCCGCGUGUGCGAUGAAGGCCUUCGGGUGUAAAGCACUUUUGGCAGGAAAGAAACGUCGCGGGUUAAUACCCCGCGAAACUGACGGUACCUGCAGAAUAAGCACCGGCUAACUACGUGCCAGCAGCCGCGGUAAUACGUAGGGUGCAAGCGUUAAUCGGAAUUACUGGGCGUAAAGCGUGCGCAGGCGGUUCGGAAAGAAAGAUGUGAAAUCCCAGAGCUUAACUUUGGAACUGCAUUUUUAACUACCGGGCUAGAGUGUGUCAGAGGGAGGUGGAAUUCCGCGUGUAGCAGUGAAAUGCGUAGAUAUGCGGAGGAACACCGAUGGCGAAGGCAGCCUCCUGGGAUAACACUGACGCUCAUGCACGAAAGCGUGGGGAGCAAACAGGAUUAGAUACCCUGGUAGUCCACGCCCUAAACGAUGUCAAUUAGCUGUUGGGGCCUUCGGGCCUUGGUAGCGCAGCUAACGCGUGAAGUUGACCGCCUGGGGAGUACGGUCGCAAGAUUAAAACUUAAAGGAAUUGACGGGGGUGCAUAGCU